This 249-nucleotide ribosomal RNA is filed under the name uncultured Peptostreptococcus sp. RNAcentral describes it as "partial 16S ribosomal RNA". It matches the Rfam family "Bacterial small subunit ribosomal RNA", at positions 107 to 355 of the family's 1533-position model. The record is from RNAcentral. Lineage: Bacteria; Bacillati; Bacillota; Clostridia; Peptostreptococcales; Peptostreptococcaceae.
UGAGUAACGCGUGGGUAACCUGCCCUAUACACAUGGAUAACAUACUGAAAAGUUUACUAAUACAUGAUAAUAUAUAUUUACGGCAUCGUAGAUACAUCAAAGUGUUAGCGGUAUAGGAUGGACCCGCGUCUGAUUAGCUAGUUGGUGAGAUAACUGCCCACCAAGGCGACGAUCAGUAGCCGACCUGAGAGGGUGAUCGGCCACAUUGGAACUGAGACACGGUCCAAACUCCUACGGGAGGCAGCAGUC